RNAcentral lists this ribosomal RNA (82 nucleotides) under Rhodococcus (subgen. Prescottella) equi. Its description in RNAcentral is "Rhodococcus hoagii partial 16S ribosomal RNA". It matches the Rfam family "Bacterial small subunit ribosomal RNA", at positions 1456 to 1533 of the family's 1533-position model. Lineage: Bacteria; Bacillati; Actinomycetota; Actinomycetes; Mycobacteriales; Nocardiaceae. The record is from RNAcentral.
UCGAAGGUGGGAUCGGCGAUUGGGACGAAGUCGUAACAAGGUAGCCGUACCGGAAGGUGCGGCUGGAUCACCUCCUUUCUAA